GUUUUUCUAUUUUUUCCCUUUAUGGGGUCAAAACAAUGGCUGAGGAUGCUGGAGAAAUAGGCCAAAAACAGCGGCUCUGAAUUCAGAAAUAAAGAAUAAAGUCUCCAGACCUGACACAUUCUUUGCGGAUCUCAAAACUCAAAAAGAUAAGCAGAUGGCGAGCACACAUAUGCAUGAGCCAGCGACAGGCAUUUUUGUGCCCGUUUAAUGUGGCGCCAAAUGGAGGAGUCGUGCUUGCGCACAAGCAACUGUCCCAUGAGCUGUUCGUUACUGCCAUCCAACCACAUCUUUCAAUUUUUUUUUCUCUUUCUCAGUCUUCUCUUUCCUUUUCAAUUCAUCUGUGGAAUUUUUCCCCCUUCUUAUAUAAGAAGCAAAUAAGUUACCAGACUCGUACCAAAUCCCCCCUUAAAACUUUCCAGUUGUAAUUACGACCCUUGUGUUUCAUUUAUUGUUUUAGUGAAUUUUUGUUGUACUAAGCUAGCACAUCAUUAUUCACUGACAUGUCUACUAGAAGAUUAAGACAACCUAAGCCACCUAGUCUAAAGUCAAGGUUGUGAGAGUUGUGAUCUAUCCAAACCCAAUAAUUACAGUGUAAAAAUGGGGUAUGCAAAUAAAUAUUUCAGUCAAUACAACAAUAAUAUAUAUAAAAAGAAAGCUAUAAUUACAGAAUAAAGUAGUGAAAAUAUCAUAUGGAAGUUUCGCUUUCUGGUCAUUUAUUCCAGGCAAUGGCAAUUGCCUUCUCCCUGUAUCAUCAUCGUUAUUCUUCUUAAUUCUUAAUUAUUAUCUUCUUUUGGUCUCCUGUUUCAUUACACAAUUUUCAUCUUUGAAAUUUUCACUUUUCUUCUUCUCCUUUCAGACUCUCGCUCCUGUUUCUGUUCAUUAACCAAGAUCCUCUGCCUCUCCGCUUACCACUUCGUUUCUUGGUAAUUCUGUGUCCAAGAAACAGGUUUUUACUUGGUGUUUCAACACUUUCUUCUUGAGAUGCAUUUGGGUUGUUGCCAUUUCUCUCAAAGGUUGUAAAAGUGCGUGGUCUUGAUAUUAAUUGGAUUAAAUCAUUUUGGUUUUGGCUUUAAUGGGGUGAAGCAGAUGCAUUGCUGAGGAAAUGACAGGUUUUUGGUAGACCAUUUUACCUUGCAUGGGAGGAUUUUUUCAUUUUUUUGACUUCAAUCAGGGCAGCAUGGCUAGGAAAAUUCUUGCACGUAAGCGACAUGUUGAUGGAUUAGAAGCUCCUCCAAAUAGCUUGGAGCUGCAGGUGGAAACUUCUGAGAGCUGUUGUGUAGCAGGGGAUAUACUGGUAAUUAUUCUGAAUCACAUACCUUAGAUCUCAUUUUCUUUUUCUAAUGCAUUCAUAUAAAUUUGGCUACAAGUUUUGUGUCACCCUCAUCAGGUUGAAGAAGACUGGUCCGAAAAGAACUGCUAUCCAAUUGAAGCAUCAAUGAAGAGGUUGAUUAAAGAGGAAAUUUCCAAGCAACCUAACAACAGGAAAAAUGUGCCAAGCAUUGUGGCCCGGCUGAUGGGUGUAGACAUGUUACCAUUGGAUACUACAUAUGUUGUUCAGCCAGUUGAUAAAAAGAGUACAGGCAUGGUAACCAAGCACUUGAAAAGGGAGAAAAAUGAAAGGAGCUCAGUCAAUAGUUGCCCUUCUGAUUCAAAGUCUUCCAGGCAUAUGGAAAUUGAUUCACUUUGCCAUGGUAAAGAAAGGGAUGUUGACAGAUGGAGGAAUGGCCAGAAGUUAGGAAAACCAAGGCCUCGAGAACAUCCUCAAGAGGAGGAACUACAGAAGUUCAAAAAAGAAUUUGAAGCAUGGCAAGCUGCCAGGUUUAAGGAAUGUUCUAAGGUUGUUGAAAUUGGCAGCAAUCCUGAUCAGUUGCUUGUGCAAGAGAACAUCAACAAGCAGAAAAUGGUACUCGAUGCAAAUUCUGUAAUGUCAAAAAGUGAAAAGCCUAUAGAAUACAAGGGUCCUGUGUUAAAAGCAAUGUCGAGGGAAAAGGCUAACUUGCAUCAUAGACAUAAUCUGGAACUCUUCCCAGCAGAACAGAAGGAAUCGUUUUCUUCAAGAAACAGAAGUAUAAAUAGAAACUAUGAGCACUCCUCAAUAAAUUAUGAUCAGAAAAUGGAUACGUAUUCUGCUCCCACAAGGAUAGUAAUCCUGAAGCCUGGUCCUGAUAGAAUUUGUGACCUUGAAGAGUCUUGGACUAGUUCCUCCAGUACUUUAGAGGACAGAGGUAGUAUAGAAGAUUUCCUUGAGGAGGUGAAGGAAAGGCUGAAACGUGGACUGCAAGGAAAAACACUUAAAAGAGGUUUUGCAGUCAGAGGAAGUGGAAUUGAGACUCCUUUUAGUGAAAAGCCAUCAGAUCCAAAACAAAUUGCUCAGCAUAUAGCAAAACAUGUCAGAGAAAGUGUUACACAGGACCUUGGAAUGAGUCUGGUCCGAUCAGAAUCUACACGGUCAUAUAGAAGUGAGAUUCAGUUCAAUGGACUAGGUUCUCCUGAGUUCAUCAACAGGGAUGCUAGGAGAUUCUUAUCAGAGAGACUGAGGAAUGUGCUCAAGAGAGAAACACAUUCUCUGGAUCUUCCUUUAGUUUUUAGUGGCAGGUCUGGAUCAUCUCUCUUAGAUAAUGAGAAAAUCAGACUAGAAGUGGGAGAUACCUCACAAGCUAGAAUUUUGCCUAGCUACUGGGAAAUUGUGAAAGAUGAUCAAGAAAUGCGAAUUAAAUCUUUCAGGCAUGGAGAUGAUGAUGGAUUGCUUCAUAGAGAAUUGUCUCCUAGGAACCUAAUUAGGUCUUUAUCAGCUCCUGUAUCAGGAACAUCAUUUGGUAAGCUUCUUCUUGAGGACCGCCACAUUUUAACUGGUGCUCAUAUCAGGAGGAAGCAUGAAUCCCUCGAAAAUGUGACAAUGGGGUUGAAAAAAAGGAAGAAAGAAAGAUUUAAUAUCAAAGAAAAAGUUUCCAAUUUCAGAUACAGUUUCACUCUUAGGGGAAGGCUAUUUGGCAAAAAGCUUCAAUCAAUGGUAGAAUCACAUGAUUCUGAACAGGAUUUUGUAAAGGAUAUCAUGAGUGGACCAACAGUUGUUAGGAACUUUGGCAAAAGACACAUAAUGGAGAACUCAACUGAGGUGCCUCCUAGCCCUGCAUCUGUCUGCAGCAGUGCUCAAGAAGAGUCCUGGAGGCCAGUGGAUUAUCUCAGCCCACUAUCAACAUCUGAUGUCACUCCGGCGGACGAUAGUAAUAUGCCACAGGUUUUUAAAGAGAUUAGCUCUAAUCUGAAUGGUAUGGAAACAAUUGAUAUCUUCCUUCAAUUCAUGGUGUAUGCAUGAAUUUAUUUAAAUCUUGAGUUUUCUGUGAUGAUUUUGUCAAAAAAUUGUAGAUUGUUAGAUGAACUUUCCAUUUUGCACAAAAUUUGCGGUGGAUUCACUUGAAUUUCUUGUAAUUUAUACUGAGACAUCGAGUAUCAAUUGAUAUAUAUUUUGAAAAUCAGGACAUUUGAUACACAACUCAGUAAGAUUGCGAAUCUGAAAUGUACCUUAUUGUUACUGACAGCUUUUCCUAUUUGUUGAUCAUGCAGAGCUGCAGAGGCAACUAAAUCAACUCAAAUCUAAUGAGCCAGAAGACUCAACAAUUGAACAGGGGCCUAGUGAGUGCAUAAUGGUUAAUUUGGAGGAUGAGGUAGAAGCUUACUUAAGGGAUUUGCUUGUUGCUUCUGGUUUGUAUGAUGGAUCAUGCGAUAAAUGCUUUUCAAGAUGGGAUCCACUUGCAAAGCCUAUCAGCAACUCAGCGUUUGAAAAAGUUGAAGAAUCUUGUAAAAAAUUGGCCAAGGAUAAUCGAAAUAGCAAUAGAGAUGACAAGGACAAGAAGGUAGAUCACAAAAUUUUAUAUGAUUUAAUGAACGAAGCACUUUCAACUUUACUCGGACCGCCAGCGGCCAUGUCUAUGUUCAGAAGAAGGAUCAUAAGUUCCUUCAUGUUGCCACCUCUACGUGGAAGGAAAUUAUUGGAUUGUGUAUGGGAGAUGAUCCGCGGGUAUUUAUAUCACCCAGAUGACAAACCUUACUAUUCACUGGAUAGUUUGGUGACCAGGAAUCUGGGAUGCACUCCAUGGUCCAGCUUGAUCAACGACGAGGUAAAUGCUUUGGGAAAAGAGAUGGAAUGUCUGAUUGUGGGAGAUUUAAUAGAGGAAAUUGUGAAUGAUAUUCAUUUGUAAUUGUGUUUGAUUAGUACAUUUUGCAGAGUGACCUCUCUUAUGAUCAGCAGGUCGCUUGUUAGAUGAUAUAGACAAGAAGUGGUGAGAGUUGUUGGUGAGUGGGAGUACGUAUGAAGACCAGGUUCCGAAUGAUUUACAUGGCUAUAUCCCAACUUGGGGAUGGCUAUGUUUUCCUGCUAUAUAUAGGUGACUGCAUUUUUUUCAUGAUACAUAGGUGACUGCUGGAGUAGGAGAUUUCAUGUUCAUGUAUAUAUAUAUGUGUGUGUGUGUUCUUUUCUUUGUGGGUGUUUGAUACAGAAGUAAUUUCAUAUAUGUAAAUGAGUUAAAAUUGAAUGGUUUUUCUU
RNAcentral lists this unclassified non-coding RNA (4543 nucleotides) under Hevea brasiliensis (rubber tree). Lineage: Eukaryota; Viridiplantae; Streptophyta; Magnoliopsida; Malpighiales; Euphorbiaceae. The record is from RNAcentral.